This 70-nucleotide transfer RNA is filed under the name Podarcis lilfordi (Lilford's wall lizard). Its description in RNAcentral is "tRNA.Ile". The stretch from base 4 to 62 matches the Rfam family "tRNA", at positions 8 to 63 of the family's 71-position model. Rfam says of the family: Transfer RNA (tRNA) molecules are approximately 80 nucleotides in length. Their secondary structure includes four short double-helical elements and three loops (D, anti-codon, and T loops). Lineage: Eukaryota; Metazoa; Chordata; Lepidosauria; Squamata; Lacertidae. The record is from RNAcentral.
GGAUAGCUAAGUUGGUUAGAGUGUGGCGCUGAUAAUGCCAAGGUAGCAGGUUCGAUCCCUGUAUGGGACA